UACGUAGGGAGCGAGCGUUGUCCGGAAUUACUGGGCGUAAAGGGUGCGUAGGCGGCAUGGCAAGUCAGAUGUGAAAUCCCCGGGCUUAACUCGGGAGUUGCAUUUGAAACUGCUGUGCUUGAGUGCAGGAGAGGAAAGCGGAAUUCCUAGUGUAGCGGUGAAAUGCGUAGAUAUUAGGAGGAACACCAGUGGCGAAGGCGGCUUUCUGGACUGUAACUGACGCUGAGGCACGAAAGCGUGGGGAGCAAACAGGAUUAGAUACCCUGGUAGUCCACGCUGUAAACGAUGGAUACUAGGUGUGGGGGAGAUACAACCUCCGUGCCGCAGCAAACGCAAUAAGUAUCCCGCCUGGGGAGUACGGUCGCAAGGCUGAA
RNAcentral lists this ribosomal RNA (374 nucleotides) under uncultured bacterium. RNAcentral's name for it is "bacterial SSU rRNA". It matches the Rfam family "Bacterial small subunit ribosomal RNA", at positions 524 to 898 of the family's 1533-position model. The record is from RNAcentral.